CAGCAGCCGCGGUAAUACGUAGGGUGCAAGCGUUAUCCGGAAUUACUGGGCGUAAAGAGCUCGUAGGCGGUUUGUCGCGUCGUCUGUGAAAUUCUGCAGCUUAACUGUAGGCGUGCAGGCGAUACGGGCAGACUUGAGUACUACAGGGGAGACUGGAAUUCCUGGUGUAGCGGUGAAAUGCGCAGAUAUCAGGAGGAACACCGGUGGCGAAGGCGGGUCUCUGGGUAGUAACUGACGCUGAGGAGCGAAAGCGUGGGUAGCGAACAGGAUUAGAUACCCGUGUAGUCCCUGUCUCUUAUAC
Molecule: ribosomal RNA, 301 nt
Filed under: uncultured bacterium
Lineage: Bacteria
Description: partial 16S ribosomal RNA
Rfam family: Bacterial small subunit ribosomal RNA
Source: RNAcentral